CUGAAUUGUCGACACGAGUUGUUGCUGGUCCUCAAAUGGGGGCAUGUGCACGCUCUGUUUACACAUCCACUCACACCUGUGCACCCUCUGUAGUUCUAUGGCCUGAGGGACGAUGUCCACUUGCCAUGGUUCUAUAUCUUUACACACACACACCAUGAUAAAGUCUUAUGGAAUGUAUGCCGCGUUUAACGCAAUACAAUA
Molecule: unclassified non-coding RNA, 201 nt
Filed under: uncultured Thelephoraceae
Lineage: Eukaryota; Fungi; Basidiomycota; Agaricomycetes; Thelephorales; Thelephoraceae
Description: sequence contains ITS1
Source: RNAcentral